GGGGAUGUAUCUCAAUGGGAGAGUGCUUGCUUAGCAUGCAUGAGGUCCUGGGUUUAAUCCCCAGUACUGCCA
RNAcentral lists this transfer RNA (72 nucleotides) under Cavia porcellus (domestic guinea pig). It matches the Rfam family "tRNA". Rfam says of the family: Transfer RNA (tRNA) molecules are approximately 80 nucleotides in length. Lineage: Eukaryota; Metazoa; Chordata; Mammalia; Rodentia; Caviidae. The record is from Rfam by way of RNAcentral.